RNAcentral lists this ribosomal RNA (497 nucleotides) under uncultured bacterium. Its description in RNAcentral is "partial 16S ribosomal RNA". It matches the Rfam family "Bacterial small subunit ribosomal RNA", at positions 28 to 507 of the family's 1533-position model. The record is from RNAcentral.
GAUGAACGCUGGCGGCGUGCCUAAUACAUGCAAGUCGAGCGAACGGACGAGAAGCUUGCUUCUCUGAUGUUAGCGGCGGACGGGUGAGUAACACGUGGAUAACCUACCUAUAAGACUGGUAUAACUUCGGGAAACCGGAGCUAAUACCGGAUAAUAUUUUGAACCGCAUGGUUCAAAAGUGAAAGACGGUCUUUCUGUCACUUCUAGAUGGAUCCGCGCUGCAUUAGCUAGUUGGUCAGGUAACGGCUUACCAAGGCAACGAUGCGUAGCCGACCUGAGGGGCGGAUCGGCCACCUUGGAACUGAGACACGGUCCAGACGCCUGCGGGAGGCAGCAGUAUCCAACCUUCCGCAGUGGGCGGAAGCCUUACGGAGCAACCCCGCGUGAGUGAUGAAGGCCUUCGGAUCGUAAAGCUCUGUUAUUAGGGAAGAACAUAUGUGUAAGUAACUGUGCACAUCUUGACGGUACCUAAUCAGAAAGCCACGGCUAACUACGUG